Molecule: ribosomal RNA, 254 nt
Filed under: uncultured bacterium
Lineage: Bacteria
Description: partial 16S ribosomal RNA
Rfam family: Bacterial small subunit ribosomal RNA
Source: RNAcentral
UACGUAGGCAGCGAGCGUUGUUCGGAAUUACUGGGCGUAAAGAGUGUGUAGGCGGUGUUCCCAGUCUGUUGUGAAAUCUCCCGGCUUAACUGGGAGGGUGCAGCGGAAACUAGAAUGCUAGAGGGUGGGAGAGGUAAGCGGAAUUCCUGGUGGUAGCGGUGAAAUGCGUAGAUAUCAGGAGGAACACCUGUGGUGUAGACAGCUUACUGGACCACUUCUGACGCUGAGACACGAAAGCGUGGGUAGCAAACAGG